GAUGAACGCUGGCGGCGUGCCUAAUACAUGCAAGUCGAGCGAACAGACGAGGAGCUUGCUCCUCUGACGUUAGCGGCGGACGGGUGAGUAACACGUGGAUAACCUACCUAUAAGACUGGGAUAACUUCGGGAAACCGGAGCUAAUACCGGAUAAUAUAUUGAACCGCAUGGUUCAAUAGUGAAAGACGGUUUUGCUGUCACUUAUAGAUGGAUCCGCGCCGCAUUAGCUAGUUGGUAAGGUAACGGCUUACCAAGGCAACGAUGCGUAGCCGACCUGAGAGAGUGAUCGGCCACACUGGAACUGAGACACGGUCCAGACUCCUACGGGAGGCAGCAGUAGGGAAUCUUCCGCAAUGGGCGAAAGCCUGACGGAGCAACGCCGCGUGAGUGAUGAAGGUCUUCGGAUCGUAAAACUCUGUUAUUAGUGAAGAACAAAUGUGUAAGUAACUAUGCACGUCUUGACGGUACCUAAUCAGAAAGCCACGGCUAACUACGUG
RNAcentral lists this ribosomal RNA (497 nucleotides) under uncultured bacterium. RNAcentral describes it as "partial 16S ribosomal RNA". It matches the Rfam family "Bacterial small subunit ribosomal RNA", at positions 28 to 507 of the family's 1533-position model. The record is from RNAcentral.